RNAcentral lists this ribosomal RNA (513 nucleotides) under uncultured bacterium. RNAcentral's name for it is "partial 16S ribosomal RNA". It matches the Rfam family "Bacterial small subunit ribosomal RNA", at positions 28 to 523 of the family's 1533-position model. The record is from RNAcentral.
GACGAACGCUGGCGGCAUGCCUAAUACAUGCAAGUCGAGCGAACAGAUGAAGUGCUUGCACCUCUGACGUUAGCGGCGAACGGGUGAGUAACACGUAAGGAAUCUACCUAUAAGCGGGGGAUAACAUUCGGAAACGGGUGCUAAUACCGCAUAAUAUCUUCUUCCGCAUGGAAGAAGAUUGAAAGACGGCUCUGCUGUCACUUAUAGAUGACCUCGCGGUGCAUUAGUUAGUUGGGGGGGUAACGGCCUACCAAGACGAUGAUGCAUAGCCGACCUGAGAGGGUGAUCGGCCACAUUGGGACUGAGACACGGCCCAAACUCCUACGGGAGGCAGCAGUAGGGAAUCUUCCGCAAUGGGCGAAAGCCUGACGGAGCAAUGCCGCGUGAGUGAAGAAGGCCUUCGGGUCGUAAAACUCUGUUAUAAGAGAAGAACAAAUUGUAGAGUAACUGCUACAGUCUUGACGGUAUCUUAUCAGAAAGCCACGGCUAACUACGUGCCAGCCGCCGCCGUAA